This 1597-nucleotide long non-coding RNA is filed under the name Mytilus galloprovincialis (Mediterranean mussel). The record is from RNAcentral. Lineage: Eukaryota; Metazoa; Mollusca; Bivalvia; Mytilida; Mytilidae.
GAAAUAAAAGUUUUUCACAAAAGACAUGUAUUUCCUGAAAAAACUCCUGUUAUAGCUGCUGUUUCCGUUGUGCUGUUGAUGAUUUUAAUAACUAUUGCAUGGUAAGGACUGUAAUUUUGCUAGAAACGAUGUUAUACAAAAUGUAAGACAACAAAUUAAAAAAAAUCGAAAAAAGCUAACAAUGUAAUGUCCGUCAAUGAGACAGCAACUUUACAACAGAAAAGUAUAGGUAUCUAAUGCAACUGUCAUUAAAAGUCAAUAUAUAUACGGAACAAGAUAUUUCCUAUGUUAAUAUCCUAUAAAUCGUUUCAGAAGACAAAGAAAGCUAAAACAAAAACAAAUAGAAACUGAGGAAAUUGCAUGAUUCUAAAAAGAAACAAUACCGGUUGUGUCGAUAUUGUUAUCGUCUCCUGCAUGCAUGCAUCACCAGCCAUGCGAAUAAACACUCCGUGGAAAUAGUAACAAUCAGUAAAAUUACAGCUUAAAUUACUACAGACUACGUAGACAUAUCAUAUUGGUGAACCAAUACGUAAUGGGAGACCAUAAAACGUGGGAAAGACUCACACAAAACACCAAGAUGACAGUUCUGGUUGAUCUCUAUCAAAUACCACUACAUCUAGUUUAUAAAAUGCUAUUCCAGUAAUCAAUAAAUAUACUGUUAAGUUUGCACUAAAACUAUUUAAUAGAGUUUAAAGUUUUUCAAAAGCUGAAUUUGACCACAAAUCUUUACAAAAUUGGAUGAUAUUAAUAUACAAAAGUAUUUUAAAAAUGCAAAUAUGUAUAUUUUAUGGUUUGGAUAUUGUCUGACAUUCCAACAAGCAACCAAAAAUUGUUUUAGUUGGUCUCUACUUGGUAACUAUGACAAAAGAAUAUUUACCAUUAGGAAUGUUCAUUUGAUUUAUUACAGAUUUUAUUGAAGAUUUCGAAGCUUAUGUGAAACGAAUGUGAUGAAUUCCAUAUCAUUAUUCAUAUAAACCUUCAAUCUCUUUUUGAACUUUUGUUAAAAUCGUUCUUAAAAUUGAAAGACAUAAGUGUAAAUGAUAGACCGAUUUGAUAAUAUUUCGUAAUACGUACUAUUUUUUAUUGCAGGUGCCUAAGAACACGCUAUAGGGAAUACAAUCCUGAUAUUGAUUUACCAUCAAUUCAGAGGGGACACUGAUUAAAGUUUGAUUGAGAUAAAAAAUAAAAACAACAUGAAAGGAGUAAAACAAAUUUUACCAGUAUACUCUUUUCAUGAAAGAAAAACAAACUUUGCCUGGCAUAAAACCAAGCAAAUACAUGGGUUGCUUUAUUUCCGAGAAGGAAAUUUCAUGCAAAUGUGAAGCGUUAAAGCUCAUACUAGACAAGAAUACAAUGUGACAAUCGUUACAUAUGUGACAUGUUUUGCAUAUUUGUAUCUCAACUUCACAAAAUGUGCACAGGGUUGAUUUGAUGUUCUACUAAACAUCUUUCUAAAGUUCUUUCCUACAACAUUUUUUCUGUAAUAUAUGAUUGUCUUCUGAAAAAUUCUGAUGAGUAGUUGUUAUCGUCACUCAGUUGGGUCAUCUUUAAAAUUAAAAAAGUUCUCUCUAAAUUCUUCAAUCACAAUUUCAACAGU